CCCUUAGAUGUCCUGGGCCGCACGCGCGUUACACUGAUGCAUUCAACGAGCUUAUAACCUUGGCCGAGAGGCCUGGGCAAUCUUGUUAACGUGCAUCGUGAUAGGGAUAGAUUAUUGAAAUUAUUAAUCUUGAACGAGGAAUUCCUAGUAAACGCAGAUCAUCAAUCUGCAUUGAUUACGUCCCUGCCCUUUGUACACACCGCCCGUCGCACCUACCGAUUGGAUGGUCCGGUGAAGCCUCGGGAUUGUGGUUCUUGCCGCUUUAUUGUGGCGUGACCGCGAGAACUUGUCUAAACCUUAUCAUCUAGAGGAAGGUGAAGUCGCAACA
RNAcentral lists this ribosomal RNA (328 nucleotides) under uncultured eukaryote. RNAcentral describes it as "partial 18S ribosomal RNA". It matches the Rfam family "Eukaryotic small subunit ribosomal RNA", at positions 1470 to 1796 of the family's 1831-position model. The record is from RNAcentral.